AAAUUUUUAGUGGCGGACGGGUGAGUAACGCGUGGGUAACCUACCCAUAAAGUCGGGACAACCCUUGGAAACGAGGGCUAAUACCGAAUAAUCUUAGAUCGUGGCAUCACGAAUUAAGAAAAGGUGGCCUCUGAAAAUGCUACCGAUUAUGGAUGGACCCGCGUCUGAUUAGCUAGUUGGUGGGGUAAAGGCCUACCAAGGCGACGAUCAGUAGCCGGCCUGAGAGGGUGAACGGCCACCCCCGCACUGAGACUCGGCCCAGACUCCUA
Molecule: ribosomal RNA, 269 nt
Filed under: uncultured Peptococcaceae bacterium
Lineage: Bacteria; Bacillati; Bacillota; Clostridia; Eubacteriales; Peptococcaceae
Description: partial 16S ribosomal RNA
Rfam family: Bacterial small subunit ribosomal RNA
Source: RNAcentral